AGCAGCCGCGGUAAUUCCAGCUCCAAUAGCGUAUAUUAAAGUUGUUGCAGUUAAAAAGCUCGUAGUUGAAUUUCGAGACCGGUUUAUUGGUCGUGCUUUUGUACGUACUGGUAUUAUUGGUUUCUCCUUUCUGACGAAUCUUAAUGCCAUUAAUUUGGUGUUUUGGGGAAUCAGGACUGUUACUUUGAAAAAAUUAGAGUGUUUAAAGCAGGCUCACGCUUGAAUACAUUAGCAUGGAAUAACGGAAUAGGACGUUUGAUUCUAUUUUGUUGGUUUCUAGGAUCGACGUAAUGAUUAAUAGGGAUAGUUGGGGCAUUAGUAUUCAAUUGUCAGAGGUGAAAUUCUUGGAUUUAUUGAAGACUAACUACUGCGAAAGCAUUUGCCAAGGAUGUUUUCAUUAAUCAAGAACGAAAGUUAGGGGAUCGAAGACGAUCAGAUACCGUCGUAGUCUUAACCAUAAACUAUGCCGACUAGGGAUCGGAUGAUGUUAAUUUUUAAUGACUUCAAUUCGGCGCCUUAC
RNAcentral lists this ribosomal RNA (520 nucleotides) under uncultured Glomus. RNAcentral describes it as "SSU rRNA". It matches the Rfam family "Eukaryotic small subunit ribosomal RNA", at positions 569 to 1091 of the family's 1831-position model. The record is from RNAcentral. Lineage: Eukaryota; Fungi; Glomeromycota; Glomeromycetes; Glomerales; Glomeraceae.